GGAUAAAGCAAUCCACCAUAGACAAGACGAAACUAUGUUAAAGGUUCCAAGGUCGAAGGACAAAAGUCUCUCGAUCGAGAGAGAGAGAGAGAUUUGGCAAUAACGUCUUUCAUUGACGAUUUCUACUCCAGAAUUUAGGUGUUCGUUCUUGAAAAUCAGGGGGACGUUGGUACACAAUCGAUGCAGCUUUAAUCAAAAUGCCAGCAGUUAUAGCCCAUAUUAUAUACUUCUCAUUCUCUGUUUCAUGAUCAAAGAAAUGAAGAACAUAUUCAUCUCCCAUGUAUUCACGUUCUUGUUCUCGUCGAUUCUCAUCCUUGAGAAACAUCUCUAGAGGUGCAUCAAAUAGUGAUGCCACUUCUGCAGUAUUUAUCAACGGGUUGAAUGUGUUCCGGUCCCAAAGUAUGCCCACGACAGGAAUCACCGUAAUUCCCUUCUUGUUGGUAAAGGAUUCAAGAACAGUAACAACAUCUACAAGUGAACGGUCUAAUCCGAUCUCCUCCUCAGCCUCCCUCAAUGCUGUCUCAACGUUAUCGGCAUCCCCUUCUUCUACUUUCCCACCAGGCAAAGCAACUUCACCUGAGUGUGAAGAAAGUGUUGAAGCUCUUUUGGUGAGGAUUACACGAAGAUGGCCUUGUGGGUCUUCAAAUAGACACACCAAAACUGCAGCCCUGUUUGAUUUAGGUAUUGGGUUUAUCCCCAAUUCUUGAUUUUUGGGAACAAAUUCUUGAAUUUUCGAAAUUUGGGUACUUAUAGAGUUAUAAAGACGAAGUCUUUCAGCUAACUUCACAAGGCUCUCUGAUCU
Molecule: unclassified non-coding RNA, 802 nt
Filed under: Hevea brasiliensis (rubber tree)
Lineage: Eukaryota; Viridiplantae; Streptophyta; Magnoliopsida; Malpighiales; Euphorbiaceae
Source: RNAcentral